GAUCCAAAAUCUGUGCAGAUACAGAAUUUUGGUUAAAAAAGUACUUACCCAGAAUAAACAAAGUCUUGCUGCAGAAUCUCACUGUAUAGAUUGUAAGGAUCUAGUUAUUUAAGAAUUUGCUUUCAGAAUCACAAAAUUGUGAAUAAUCAGUUGAAUCUGGGCAGAUACUUCUUUUGAAGCCAAGCCCCAUUGAUGCAAAAAAUAUUUGGAACUGAUAUCUUUCAGGGUUUAAGGGUGUCUGCUGACUGAAGAGUAUUAUUAUUAUAGAAAUAUAAUGGUUGUUCUCUGUUGUAAUAGCCAUUCAUUACAUUGUUUCAAUAAUUCCCAAUUUUAUUAUAGAGUAUCAGAACAUUAACACUUAUCUCACUUUGUCUUUGCUGUAAUAAGCCUGGAAUUAGAGCAAGUCUUAAAUUGUUCUUAUGCUUUGUUUUUAUUUCAGUUCUGUGAUCUGUUGUGCAUCUUGCCACUAAUUUGGAUUAAAAAAAAAAAAAAAAAAAAAAAAAAGCAAGGGAAGCAUCUUACACAGUGAGAGAAUCCAUUCUUGAUGAGACCCUGUUUCAGUCAAAAUCUGAAGCCUCUCCUCCUGUCUAAACAAACAGAUCUAAAUCUGCUGAGCCAUGCAGAAAGAACACAAAGAUGUAUCUUCAUCCUGUCUGAAAUCCAUGCAAUGGCAAGGUGACAGUAAAUGAAGACUGCCAUGAAGACAUUAUUUCCUGGAUAUGUGCCUCUUCCUUCAGAAGCACAGAAGCUGUGCUGAAGCUGCUUUUCUCUCCUGCUUGCACAUUCACAUCCUCCCAUGCACAUGCUUUGCUACAGCCAGUUCUAUUUAGAUAGACUUUGGCAUAGUCAUAUAUCAAAUUGAACCAUAAUAAAACCAGAAACCAGAAUUUUAAUUAUCAUGUGAGUGAGCAUGUUGUAUAUAAUAGAUAUUAAAUAUAAUAAUUAGCAAAAAGUGAGAGUAGAAUUUUAUGGUGUUUUGUUAGUUUUUCUGCUAACAUAAACAUUCUGAAUUUUGAAGAUCAGAAUGUGUUAUUAUGAUGCAUCAGUCUGAUUUUAUGUAUUGUGCAGGGUGUAUAAUGUUGAAGUCAAUGCAGUCUUCACAGAAACAAUGUACAGUUUUAAUUCUACAUGUCCUUAUCUGUUGCAUAUCAUCAUAAUAGUGAAAGCAAAUGACUUUCACCUACGCAGACAAAAUCCACUUAUUCCCUUAGUAUAAUUUGUGCUUUGGAUUUUAUUUUAUUUUAUUUUAUUUAUUUUACAUUCUGUAUGAAGUACACAACUUU
Molecule: long non-coding RNA, 1283 nt
Organism: Oxyura jamaicensis (ruddy duck)
Lineage: Eukaryota; Metazoa; Chordata; Aves; Anseriformes; Anatidae
Exons: 3
Source: RefSeq, a predicted model, not a curated record